This 254-nucleotide ribosomal RNA is filed under the name uncultured bacterium. RNAcentral's name for it is "partial 16S ribosomal RNA". It matches the Rfam family "Bacterial small subunit ribosomal RNA", at positions 524 to 776 of the family's 1533-position model. The record is from RNAcentral.
UACGUAGGGGGCGAGCGUUGUCCGGAUUCAUUGGGCGUAAAGAGCUCGUAGGCGGCUUGGCAAGUCGGGUGUGAAAACUUCAGGCUCAACCUGGAGCGGCCACUCGAUACUGCCAUGGCUUGAGUCCGGUAGGGGACCACGGAAUUCCUGGUGUAGCGGUGAAAUGCGCAGAUAUCGGGAGGAACACCAGUGGCGAAGGCGACUACCUGGCCUGUUCUUGACGCUGAGGCGCGAAAGCUAGGGGAGCAAACGGG